Molecule: transfer RNA, 82 nt
Filed under: Coniochaeta sp. 2T2.1
Lineage: Eukaryota; Fungi; Ascomycota; Sordariomycetes; Coniochaetales; Coniochaetaceae
Rfam family: tRNA
About the family: Transfer RNA (tRNA) molecules are approximately 80 nucleotides in length. Their secondary structure includes four short double-helical elements and three loops (D, anti-codon, and T loops).
Source: Rfam by way of RNAcentral
GGCUCAAUGGUCUAGUCGUAUGAUUCCUGCUUUGGGUGUUCACAAUUGCAGGAGGUCCCGGGUUCAAAUCCCGGUUGAGCCC